Syzygium oleosum is the source of this 961-nucleotide long non-coding RNA. RefSeq lists it as uncharacterized. The record is from RefSeq and is a predicted model, not a curated record. The transcript is spliced from 2 exons. Lineage: Eukaryota; Viridiplantae; Streptophyta; Magnoliopsida; Myrtales; Myrtaceae.
UUUUUUUGGUCAUAAGAGGUACUUUCAUUCAUUCAUAAAAAAGAGGUCUAUAUGAUGAAAAUGAACAAGUCUCCGAAAACAAAAUAUCCCGAAGGAGCUGGGGGGGUGAAGACACCCAAUUUGGAGGAAGAGUUCUUGUACGAUGGGCUUUAGCUACCCAGUCUACUGCUUGGUUGGCCUCCCUAGGACAAUGACUUAAUUUCGCUGAAGCUUGUUGAGCUAAAAGAUCAUUGCAUUCAAUUAAGAUAUUCCGCAAGGCCCAAGGGGGCUCUUCUCGGCCCAACACCAUCUCCACUAAGGAUGAACUGUCGCUCUCACACUCCCACUGCACUUUCUGUACUUGUCCUUCACCCACGUGCGUUUCUGUUCGCUGUUUUAGAAACAAAAGUCCUUGCACUAAAGCUAGGGCUUCGGCUUGCAGAGGAGUUGAAGCUCGGACAUCCUUCGCGAAGCCAUCGACGACCAUCCCCUUUGAGUUGCGCAAGAUUCCUGCAAUUGAACUUGGUUUGUCGCUAUCCACCCAUGAGCAGUCCACGUUUAACUUCAUGGAGCUUCCAAUCGGAGGUAUCCAGUAAACAGGAAGAGAUGUUCAGCUGUCUCUGGAUGACUUGCACAGAGAGGGCACAACGGGUCAGGUAAUACUUUCCUCUUGAAGAGGUUUUCUCUCGUUGGUAGGGCGUCUUGACAUAAACUCCAUAGGAAAAUUCUCAGUUUGGGGGGGAUCGACAGAUUCCAUAUUUUUGUCCAUAAUCUUCUGGGAGGCUGAAAUGAUGUUGUUGCCCUGUGUAGGUCUGAUUUUGUGAUCAUGGAACACACCUUGUUAUAGCCACUCUUUACUGUGUAGGCACCUGUUUUGUUCCCUGUCCAGAAUAAUUUAUCUUCCUUUAGGCUGGGACCAAUGGAGAUAGAUAGGAUUUCAUUAGCAAUACUAUCAUCAAAGAGAUUUUUGAUUUUGGAUUCA